CCUACGGGAGGCAGCAGUAAGGAAUAUUGGUCAAUGGAGGCAACUCUGAACCAGCCAUGCCGCGUGCAGGAAGACGGCCCUAUGGGUUGUAAACUGCUUUUGAACUAGAGAAAACCUUGGUACGUGUACCGAGUUGAUAGUAUAGUUAGAAUAAGCAUCGGCUAACUUCGUGCCAGCAGCCGCGGUAAGACGAAGGAUGCAAGCGUUAUCCGGAUUCAUUGGGUUUAAAGGGUGCGUAGGCGGACUGAUAAGUCAGUGGUGAAAUCUCUCAGCUUAACUGAGAAACUGCCAUUGAUACUGUUAGUCUAGAGUACAGAUGAUGUGGGCGGAAUAUGACAUGUAGUGGUGAAAUACUUAGAUAUGUCAUAGAACACCGAUUGCGAAGGCAGCUCACAAAACUGUAACUGACGCUGAGGCACGAAAGUGCGGGGAUCAAACAGGAUUAGAUACCCUGGUAGUCCGCACCGUAAACGAUGAUUACUCGUUGUUGGCGAUAUGACAGUCAGCGACGACGACGAAGACGAGUAAGUAAGUACCGUACCCGUACGGGUAGGUACGGACCGGCCGACCGGUACGGAACCGUACGAAACGUAGUUAAGUUAGUUACGGACGGUUGGAGGACGUUACGCCGACGGACGACGACGAGGGAGGUAGGG
Molecule: ribosomal RNA, 656 nt
Filed under: uncultured bacterium
Lineage: Bacteria
Description: bacterial SSU rRNA
Rfam family: Bacterial small subunit ribosomal RNA (bases 1-537)
Source: RNAcentral